CGCCAGCAGCCGCGGUAAUACGGAGGGUGCAAGCGUUAAGCGGAUUUAUUGGGCGUUAAGGGUGCGUAGGCGGGACUGUAAGUCAGAGGUGAAAUUCCGGAGCUCAACUCCGGAGCUGCCUCUGAGUACUGCAGACCUAGAGAUGUAGCGGAGAAAAGAGAAUUCAAUGUGGAGCGGUGGAAUGCGGUGAUAUAUUGAGGAAUACCAGAAGCGAAGGCGCUUUUCUAGCUACUAUCUGACGCUGAGGCACGAAAGCGUGGGGCGCGAACAGGAUUAGAUA
This 280-nucleotide ribosomal RNA is filed under the name uncultured bacterium. RNAcentral's name for it is "partial 16S ribosomal RNA". It matches the Rfam family "Bacterial small subunit ribosomal RNA", at positions 506 to 784 of the family's 1533-position model. The record is from RNAcentral.